Molecule: non-coding RNA, 27 nt
Filed under: Bombyx mori (domestic silkworm)
Lineage: Eukaryota; Metazoa; Arthropoda; Insecta; Lepidoptera; Bombycidae
Source: RNAcentral
UAAUGAUGGAUUAAAUAUAUUGAGGAC